This 484-nucleotide ribosomal RNA is filed under the name uncultured bacterium. RNAcentral describes it as "partial 16S ribosomal RNA". It matches the Rfam family "Bacterial small subunit ribosomal RNA", at positions 30 to 507 of the family's 1533-position model. The record is from RNAcentral.
AUUGAACGCUGGCGGCAGGCCUAACACAUGCAAGUCGAGCGGAUGAAGGGAGCUUGCUCCUGGAUUCAGCGUCGCACGGGGGAGUAAUGCCUAGGAAUCUGCCUGGUAGUGGGGGAUAACGUCCGGAAACGGGCGCUAAUACCGCAUACGUCCUGAGGCAGAAAGUGGGGGAUCUUCGGACCUCACGCUAUCAGAUGAGCCUAGGUCGGAUUAGCUAGUUGGUGGGGUAAAGGCCUACCAAGGCAACGAUCCGUAACUGGUCUGAGAGGAUGAUCAGUCACACUGGAGCUGAGACGCGGUCCAGACUCCUACGGGAGGCAGCAGUGGGGAAUAUUGGACAAUGGGCGAAAGCCUGAUCCAGCCAUGCCGCGUGUGUGAAGACGGUCUUCGGAUUGUGAAGCACUUUAAGUUGGGAGGAAGGGCAGUAAGUUAAUACCUUGCUGUUUUGACGUUACCAACAGAAUAAGCACCGGCUAACUUCGUG